GACUACCUAGUUCAGUGGUUAGAAUACCUGUCUAUAUUUGCAGAAAGUCCCAGGUUCAAUUCCUGAUAUAGUUA
Tephrocybe sp. NHM501043 is the source of this 74-nucleotide non-coding RNA. NCBI's taxonomy places the organism in Eukaryota, Fungi, Basidiomycota, Agaricomycetes, Agaricales, Lyophyllaceae. The record is from the annotation of a GenBank genome assembly.